GUACCCCUACUAAACUAAACGACCCCAUUUCAUAUAAGCGAGUCGAUCUAAGCUGUUGAUUUGAGUUGAUCCAAUGGAUUGGAUUCAAUCUCCUAUCUAGUAUAUAUUCCUAAAUCCUACCCCACCCCCUUCAAACAAACCCCCUUUUUCUUUCUAUCGUCUCCAAGCUCAGAGACGACCCCUCCCCAAACCCUAGCAGCCCCCAGCCCUCUUCUUCGCCAUAAACCUGGCAGAACGAUGCUAGUGACCACCAAAAACACACCCCUGAACCCCCAGACCGUCCCCUCCAUGAAUCUACAAUCCUUUCUCCUCGAAUCAUUACCAAACGUCUCGAAUCUUCAUCUGAAGAAUCGGACCAACACCUUAGUUCACCCAAUCGCCCCCAAAUCAACACCCAACAUCCACCUGACUUCCCUCGUCCCUAAACCACAACAGAUUCCCUCGAAUCUCGUUGGAUUUUCUCAAAUCUUAGAUCGAAGUUUGACCCCAAACUCUAGUUUUUUCAAGCUCGAGGUUCAGUGGAUAGUUGAAGAUCUGUAGACCAAAUUGGACUUUAAUCGUGUGUUUUCACAUUGAAAACACACGAUUAAAGCCCGAUUUGGUCGAGAUCAAAGGAUCCAAGAAUGAGUUCACGAUGGGGUCCUUUUUGGCCCCAAAUCCAAAGGUUGGAGGUUCGAACCCGGUCCUCGUUUAAACUAGUAGGUUUCCGCUUAUUUCUCUUCUUUGUUAGUUUCAUUCAGUAAAUUCAUCUUAUACCCCUUUCUUUAGAAUCGAAUGCUUUGUGUUUGUUAUGUAUUUUGUUUCUUUUUUGUAUUGUUGUUUACGUCGAAUUAUUUAGUGUCCAUAAUGCUUUGUAUAAAACCACGGCUGCUCCUGUAAUUGUUUGAUGGUUAUUACUUGUUCAAAUUGGCCAAGUUUGCUCUUUGUUGUUCAUCAUUUGUUUGGUUCCUUGCUCAUUUUUGUUUGUCUAAGCUAAUUAGGAUUGGUUUCCCUGUGUCUAUGUGAAUCAGUUUGACUUUAGUAGUUCAAUAUAGGUUGCCUUGAAUCAUAGUUUUAUUUGGAUACUAUUUGGAACUAAUCUGAGUGCAAGUUCUGGAUGAUUUUGCUGAAUUGAAUCUCAAUGAUUGUCCUAUAUUGGAUUCGGUUUUGAUGUGCUUGUUAGGUAUCGGUUCAUGUGGCUAAGUAGUUAAUUGAUUAGCUGAAUUGGUUAUAGCUGAUAGGUUGUGUACAGAUUGAAGGGAUGGGGUUAGGAUAGGAAUUCCAGGCAACUCACGGGGUAAUUUAGGAUUUGAAAUGAGUUAGUAGUAUGUCAGUCGGAUAGACUAUUAAACUAAUUAAAAUUAACUAAAGUAAAAAAGGGAUCAAUUAGUGGAAGGGACGACUUUUAGAGCACCUUUAGAGAUUGGAAAUUAUAAAUAGUAGGUACUAAUGAAAAGCUAAAAGGGUUUACAUAGUGAGGGAUAUUAAAAAGCUGGAAAGAAAAAGAAACAUAGGGGUAAUAAUGAGAUAUCUUUCUUACAGUUGCAAAAGAAAAAGAGGGCUUGAAAAGGGGGUCUGCUUUGGGUAUAAAAUAGAGACAUUAAGAGGGACUGGAAGAGUCAGUAAGAGUGGAGAGAGUCAAAAACACAUUGAUAAGAAAAGAGUCGAGACCUUAGAUAGAUAUAGACACUGAGGAAGUUCUCAGCUCAGAAAUUCCCCCAGAAGUUGUCCCUCUUCGUUUUUUAGAUCGAAGUUUGAAUUCCAUCUUCCAAUAAACCAAAAACAAAUAAAAAAUCAAAAAAUUAAAAAAAAUCUCUAUUGUUUCAUUGAGAAACUGCAAUUUGAUCCUUAUUUCCAUCUAGCCUCUUCACAUUUCAUAGUUUCAGUUAAGUUUUGGGCUUAUUGAAGUAGUGUGGUGCUUUUCAUGUGUUUUAGUUUAAUGUGCUGGUUUAAUUUGAGUUCUGAGCCUUCCUGGGAUUUUCGGAUUCAUUCUCUAGGUUGUUUCCUAUUGUUCUUACUACUGGAAAUUGUACUUUGUUGUGGUUCCUGCUGAUUAAAAUUCUUCUCCUUCUUCUGGUUAAAAUUUCAUUUCCAGGUAUUCUCCUUGGCCUUGUAUGAACUACGAAGGAUCUACGUAAUUUGAUUUGAAGAUCAAAUGAAGAAAUGUGUUCGAAUUGGUUGCUGAAUUUAUUUGAUUUCUGUUUGGUUUCUAUAUGUGAAAUAGUCCUGUUUAGGUGAAUGUUGUACUCGUGAUUGAAGAGAACUUUUGUUAUAAUAGACAAGUGAUUAAUGGUUGUUAAUUGAAUUUUAGUUAUAGCCCUAUGAUGUGUAGUGACAGGACUGAAUCCAUGUGAUACUCGUAUUUGGAAAUUAGAAACUGAGUAAUAACAAUGGUUUAGAAUUGCUUGAAUCAAUUUGAAAACAUUUAGUUGCCUCAUGUUAUUAAGUCGUGUGUCCAGUUUGUUGUUCACCUUUAGUAAACGCUAUGAUUUGGCCAGUAGUUAAAAAGGUAGUUGAUCAAUACUUUCAUCGAUUCAAGUAAGGGAAUAUGGUCCUUCUUUGUUUUUUUAAUUGUUGAACACUUUGAAUAAUAUGAAGUAAGGUUAGUGGGUAAUUGUUCAAUUCAAAUUACUAUUUGGUCCAGCUAUUUGGGCUUAACAACCCUUUGGAUACGUGAAGGCUACAACUUUCUCCCGACGAGUAUCCCAAGUCAGUUACUCAUGCUCGUGCACGAUUUGGGCCUGGGUCGAAUUCUGUGAUGGCGUCGACAUGAAGGCAAUUUUCCUUAUCGGGCUUAUCUCGAAGCCCAAUGGCUGGCUUUGGGGCCAAAUUAUCAUUUGGUUUGUUUUAAUCCAGUAACAAAUUGAUUAGGACUCUUUCUUUUAUUUUGGAGACAAUAACAAUAGAAAAUCAUAGUCGCUUUUAGGUUUUCCCUUAUCUAUAAAAUAUGAUACAAGCCUUGCCGAAUAAAACGCACAAACUACGGGGCCCUCAUUAAGUGUAUAUACGAAAUACUUAGAUUUUGGGACGCGCGAAUUUCACGGUUUUUCCCAAAACAAUAAUACGCUAGUCACUGUAGGCGCGUACUUUAAUAACAUUACCUCCCUAAACUCGGGUGCACAUUUAUGUCACCCAAAUCCAAAUAUCAACGUGGUUCGAGAUGCGUUUUCACGCCGUUGCAAUUCUCUUUUAAAAAUAAUAAUAAUAAAAGCGGUUAAAAGCUGAAAUUUGCACAUAUGUUCAUAAUUGUUAAAAUCAGAUAAUUUAAGCCGAAUAUGACAGUUGAGCGACCGUGCUAGAACUACGGAACUCGGGAAUGCCUAAAACCUACACUUGGGUUAAUAGAAUUCCUUAUCCGGAUUUCUGGUGCGCGGAAUGUAAUACAGAGUCAUUCUUUUCCUCAAUUCGGGAUUCAGCCGGUGGCUUGGGACACCAUAAAUCUCCCAAGUGGCGACUCUGAAUUAAAUAAACUAAUCCCGUUCGAUUGUCCUUUAAUUUGGAAAACUCCUUUAUGCCCUUGCGGCCUGGGUAAAAAGGAGGUGUGACAGCUCUAGCGACUCUGCUGGGGAUGAAAAACCCAGAACUUCGGUUCAGGGUUUAAGAAUUCGAGUUUAGAGUACUUGUUAUGUUUGGCUUUAUCUGAUUUUCCUACAGUUUCAUGCUAAAUGUGCAAAAAUAAUGCUUUUUACCGCUUUGAUAUUAUUUGAACUGUACAUAUAACUGUGUCGAAACCUUCUCUUCUCACCUCCGGGGAUGUGCUCGCAGGUUGUGACUCCCUAUUCUGUUAGUGUCAUACCUUGAAAUAAAAGAGGCUCGGAUAAGUUACUAAGCCGGACGAUCUUGCGAGCCCCCAGUUUGUAGCCCCCUCCUCGACUUGAGUUGUCGGCUCAGGUACACAGUCUAGGACACAAACCCAGGUUCUGAAUUAGAAUAACUUGACUUCUUGCCGGAUCCCUAGUAGAAAUGUUUAUUUUGCAUCAUGUGCAUUUGACUUAGGGGACUUAACAGAGGGGUUGGGUCCGUCUAGGACAAGCAACCUGAAGUAAAAAGACCAUCCUGCUGCAUCUUGUUUGUUUUAUGCAUUUAUUUGCUUCGGACUGGCAUGCUGAUCGGCUUCUAAAAAUGGGAAAUGCUGGAAAAUUGUGAAAAAAAAAGAAAAAGAAAAAUAGUAGUGUAGAGAGAUAACUACUCAAUUUUAGAAAAACCAAUUCCUAAUUAGUGUCGAAACUCUGCCGAAUUUUGAGAAAAUGAAAAAAAGGUGUUUAUUUGAAAACAAAAGAGUCUUGUUUUAUUUUAGUUUAUUUUCUUUGCCCAAACUAUGCAUUUUUUAUUCUCACCGGAUGUGAGAUACGUAGGCAACCCUCAUCAGGUCCAACUUCCCCCCUCUUUUUUUGAAAAGAUAGCCAAAAAAUGUCAAAUUUUAAUAUUUCGUCAUAAAUAAGUCGGGUGAUGCCGCUCUUGUCGCAUAUAGCUGAAUGUUCCCGAAAGAGACGCCGGAAGGCUGACAUUGCAUAAACAGCCAUUUUUGGUCAUUUUUGGAUUUUUUAACUCACAGAGCCUUAAAAUCUUCGUCUUCGAGGUGCUCAAAGGUUGUGUUCAGAAAUCGAGUCUUUCAUUUGAAAUAUGGGGAAAAGGGAAAUUAGUCUUGUUUUCAGUAAAAUGAUGUUUUGCUUUUUUUGCUUAAUCACCUUAAUAAAAGUGCAGAAUGAGCACGAAUCAGAAUUCACCCGGAGCCCGUAUGAACAAAAUCCCUUUGGGAUUGCAUAUGUGGUGGAAUGACUUAGGAGAAUCAGGUCAAGACAUAGUCAAGUUAUACUUGGAAGGCCUUGUUGGGUUGCUGAAGAUUAAGAUGAGAGGGGAUAUCAUAUGUGCAUUAAUCCCAUUCUAGGACCCGGCACACAAUGCAUUUCACUUCUCAGAUUUUGAGCUUACACGGACAUUGGAUGAAAUAGCAGGGUACAUCGGGGGUCCCGAAAUUCCUUCGAGAAAACAAUAUUUGUUUGCUCCAAGGGCCGUAACCAUACAUAGGUUCUUAGACGCUUUGAAAAUGCGUAGAAUGGUUCACAACCCGGACUUAUCAGAGGGAUUUUGUCCUUGGUCAUUCAUAUAUGACAGAUAUGGUCAUAUCGGAGGGUUCAACAACCCUGCGAGCAAAAUUUGUAGCAAAGAAAACCGCCUGAAAUGGGAAGAGCAUAGGUGUAUUGCGUUUGUGGUGGCCUUCCUAGGGCUUCUGGUAUUUCCUAGAAAAGACGGUAAAAUUAAUAUGCAAGUCACCGGGGUCAUCACUAUUUUACUCACUCAUGAUAACAUCACUUUGGAACCGAUGAUAAUAGCCGACAUCUUUCGCGCUCUUACUGCUUGCAAAGCCGGAGGGGAUUUCUUUGAGGGUUGCAAUGUGUUACUACAAAUGUAGAUGAUCGAACACUUAUGUCAUCACCCUUAAUAUAUGAGCUAUGGGUCAUCGAAAAAGGCGUGUAUCGAAGAAUUUUCUACAAGUUUCCAAAAGGGGUCAACUAAUGGGUAGCACGCAUGUGUUCUGUCACCGCAAGCCAGAUAGAGUGGACAUUUGGGUGGCUAUCUUUGGACAAAGUCAUAUAUAUGUUAGCCACAGAAUCUCAUUUGCUAUUUAUGGGACUUAAAAGUAUUCAAUUGUACCGUACCGAGUCUUGAGGCAAUUGGGGAGGUGCCAAAUUGUCCCGAAGAAUGAAGAGCUUAGCAGCCGGGUAGUUGAAAUUGGGGCUAAUGGUCGAUUCCUUGAAGUAGUCGUUCGCGAAGUGUGGAACGAAUGUUAGUACUUAAAGUAGAUACUUGUAUGCGGGACCGGUCUAAAGGCGAAGUGUUGCCAUGAUAUAUUUCUUGGUAUGAGAGGGACCUUGAGUUCGAAAGGCCAGCUAAGAGGCCUCACCUCCAAGAUUUUGCGAAGUCAUCGCAAGAACAAUGAGCCUGGUUAGCUAAAGAAAAUGAGUACAGGGCCAAGAUAGGAAAAUUGGAGAAGCAUGUCCAAGACCUCAAGUUUGAAAAUACCGUGCAAGCUGCAGCUGAUGAGGGGGAUAAGAAGAAGUUAGCCCAAGAAAAUGAGGCGCUUAGGGCCCAAAUCCGACAAAUAAGGGAAGACGCUAACAACCAACGAAGGAGUCGAUCAGAUGAACGAUUGAUAAGGGCGUUGAAAAAGGAAAUCACCGAGUGCAGGGAGGAUAUGAAGAAGUCUAAGGGAAGCAUAGUACAACUCCAGGCACGAUGGGCAAAAAGAACAAAGGAGCGCACACAGUACUUGCAACAAGUGAGGAAGCAGUAUGAAAAGAUAAUUGCUAAUCCUAAAAAAAAGUGACCACCCUCGAGGACAAGUCAUCCAAGCAAGCCAAAGCAUUUGAAAUCGAAAGCGGACAUUGCUACGAUUUAUUGGAUCAAAUGGAAGAUGAAAUACAGCAGUUGUAAACGCAUCACCUCCGGGAUUCUCAGGUUUUGAAGGCCCGUGAUGAUCAGAUAAGGUGCUUACUCAUAGAAAAAUUUCGAACCAGAGACAAGAUUGAGACUAUUGCUCAUGCCAUCAUUAGAAGAUGCCGAUUGUGUGAAGACAUGACUCACACUACCUUAUUUUUUGUAGUAAUAAUUUUUGUUAAGCAGACAAUGUAUGAAUUGGAACAACUUAUAAUAAGCCUUGCACCUAAGCCCGCGGCGAGGCCGAACGACACCCCGCGGGCACCAAAAUUUAAAGCUUUGAAGUAGUCAUAAUUUGAAUCUGUAUCUUCUUUGUCUUUAGAGUGUGUCAUCCGUCGGAGUUUGUAUUCUCUUUAUUUAGAGCUUGGUGGUAGUUCUUGAGUCUGUAGUUUUAUUACAAGUCUGUUAUCUUCCUUUCAAAAAAUGGCUAGCUUUGUAAUAGAACGUUUUAGUAACAAAAAUGGAAAUUUUCCAAAAAUUAUUUCUUUAUUUUUCGCAUUUAUAGUCAGAACUACGCACGGUCUGAUUCAUUCGGGGACAUGAUACGUAGGCAAUCUAUAUAAGAUUCGACCACCACUAAAAAGAAAAAGAGAAGAAUAGAAAAAGAAAAAGAGAAAAUAAGAGACAAAUAAAGGAAAGAGGCACUUAAAAGAAGCCAGAAUGACUCAUGCUGUCAGAACAAAGACAUGAUAGAAAUGGUUAAACUGCCUAGGUAUAUUUCAUCCCCAACGUGCUAUUGCAAUAUUCGUUAAACUUUAACGCUAACGAAGUUUGUUGUUUCUCAGAGAUUUCAAACAGUUAGCUUGUUAGAACAUUCUGGUAGACUACCAUUAUCACAUAAGAUCUAAAGGUCCCAUUCCAAAAGGCAUGUCUGGUUAGGACAAAAGUAAUGAGGAGGAAAAGACGAAAAUGCAAACGAUGAAGGAGGAAGUAGACAGAUUGAGACAAGAGAUAGAUGGGAUGCACCUAGCAUGGGCUAGGGGACAACCAUCACCAAUCCCUCCCACUACUCCUACCCUCUCACUGGCUUAAACUCCGGAACACCCUCCCAGUGGUCUAUCGACAAGAUUCCCAACACACCAAUACUAUCAGGAGGAAACUACCUAUAAUCCCCAAGCUCCACCACCCAAAUAAAACCCUCCUCCACCAAUUGCUCCUGUUUUUGUGGCACCUCCACCCCCCACAUUGCAAAGAUCAUCCAGUGAGCUAGUGUUUCAGGCUCACGACAACCAAUACUAUCCUCCUGAAAUCACCUUCAAAGCACCCGAGCCAUACACUUACACCCCUCACUUUGCGCUCCCGACGGGAACUAAGAGGUCGACUAAGAAUUCGGAGCAAGAUGAAGUGCUUCGCAAAGUGAAAAGCCUGGAGAAGUCCUUCAGGAAUAUGCAUGGGUUGGGCCGCCAAGUCAGUGUGGCCUACAAAGAUCUGUGUCCCUUCCCCGAUGUUCAAUUGCCGGCAGGUUUUAAAAUGCCAAAGUUUGAUAUAUAUUAAGGACAUGGUGAUCCCAUGGCACAUAUGCGAGGUUUCUGUAGCAAGAUGAGAGGGGGAGAUGGAAAGGAUUAGCUGCUAAUAUCAUACUUUGGCCAAAGCUUGAGCAGAUCUGCGUUGGAAUGGUAUACGAGGCAGGAUCCCAGCAGGUGGUACACCUGGACGGUCUAGCACAAUCAUUUGCUGGUCAUUUCCAAUAUAAUCUUGAGAUCGUCCAUGAUCGCCUCACAUUGUUGAAACUUGAGAAGAAGCCUGGAGAGAGCUUUAGGGAAUUUGGAUUCCGUUGGAGGGAACAAGCGGCGAGAGUCGAUCCUCCAAUGAGGGAAGGUGAAAUGGUGGACUACUUCUUGCAGUCUUUGGAGCCAACUUAAUUUGGUCACCUGGUGACGUUAGUUGGUAAAUCUUUCAACGAGGUAGUAAAAAUGGGCGGUAUGAUUGAAGAGGGACUCAAGUACAAUAAAAUAAUGAGCUAUUCGGCGAUCAAGGCCACUACUUAGGCCAUCCAGAGCGGCAUGGGGGGUGCGCUCGGGAAGAAGAAGAAAGAAGGGUUCGCAACAGUCGAGGCAGGUAUUUGGUCCAGAUCCAGAAGUCCUUCACCCUACUACCGACCCACACCCACCAUCCAAAUUACACAUACACUCCAUAUGGACAUCCACCUCCCUACUACCCUCCACAAUAGCCACAUUUUUCUAUCCAUCACGCCCAAACAUUUGCUCAGCCUCCGGCUCACCCGCAAUGGCGUGCGCCGACUUCCCAAAGUACAUACCCACCCCCACAAAACACAUAUCCACACCCGAAGGCCUACACAAAUCCGUCAGGGCCAGGUUUUCCUGGGAAUCAAACUUUCAGGAAUGAGAGAGUGCAGAGGCGGAAAAUAUUUACUCCGCUGGGAGAAACCUAUACCAAGCUUUUCCACAAGUUAAGAUAUUUAGGCAUGUUGACUCCUAUUGAGACCAAAUUGCCAAAUCCCAUCCCUAGAAAUCUGGACCACUCAGUAAGUUGUGAAUACUGCUCGGGGGCUCCCAGACAUGAUACUGAGAAAUGUUGGAAAUUGAAGAUUGUCGUUCAAGAUCUUAUUGAUGCAAUUUGGAUCGAGUCCAGGCACCAAAGGCACCUAACAUCAAUCAGAACCCGUUCUCCAUGCACCAUGAGGCUCACAUGAUCGAACGAGCGCACGAGGAGGGGAUCUCAAGAAACCCUCACAAACAAUAAUGAUGGUUCGUGCCAGCCCAAAAGAAAAGUCGACCAGUGGAAAGGCAGCGAUACAUUUGGGAAGAGUAGAUGACAAGCCAGUUAUGGUGAUGGGGACAGGUCUCUCUGUUGUUGCAAAGAAGCCAGAGCCAGUCAAGGUAGUGCUGCAGUGAGUAUCAAGCACACCAGUGUUAGUCGUGGAGGGGGCCCACAUAGAACUAGUUGUUAUCAGGCCAGUAAUGUAGUUGCCGAUAACCAGUAAGAAAGUCAUGCCAUAGAGCUACAAUAAUCAAGUGAUGGUGAUGCAUAAAGGGAAGGAGGUUGUGGAAGAAGUAUGUGAGACCCAGGGGUUAACUCGUUCAGGAAGGUGUUUUGCUCCCGCAGAGUUAAGAAGGGCCAAUCUUGCAGCAAUAAAAAAACCAGUGACGGAGGAAUAGGUGGAUGAGUUUUUGAAGAAGAUGAAGGCACAAGAUUAGUACAUUGUGGAGCAAUUAAGGAAGACCCCGGCACGUAUCUCAUUGUUAUCAUUGUUGAUCCAUUCAGAUGAACACCGUCGGGCAUUGAUGAAAAUUCUGAACGAAGCCCAUGUUUUGAAUAAGAUCUUGUGAACCAUCUGGAGAAAAUAGCAAACAAAAUUGUUGAGGUAAAUCGAGUGACAUUUUUUGAUGAUGACUUGCCCAUGGAGGGUACAGAACAUAAUAGAGCUCUUUAUUUGACCGUGAAGUGUGAAGACUCGGCAGUCACUCGAGUACUGGUUGGUAAUAGGUCCAGUGCCAAUAUCUGUCCUUUGACCACCCUGAACAAAUUGAGGAUCGAUGGUGACAAAAUUCACAAGAACAACAUCUGCGUUUGAGGAUUUGGUGGUGGAGGUACAGACACAUUGGGUGACGUCAUACUUAAAUUAACAAUUGGUCCGGUCGAGUUCACCAUGGAGUUUUAAGUGUUAGACAUGGCAGUGUCAUAUAAUCUCCUGUUGGGGCGACCAUGGAUCCAUGCGGCAAAAGCGGUGCCUUCCACACUGCAUCAGGUGGUCAAAUUCAAGUGGGAUAGGCAAAAGAUCGUAAUACAGGGGAAAAAAAUACGUGCACCAUAAAUGAUGCCAUCGUACCUUUAUAGAGACUGAUGAUGACAAGGGACGAUAUGUUUACCAGGUUUUCGAUGUGGUUUUAGUGGACAAAGUUCCUGAGGUAAAAGCAUCCCACUUUCUAGAAUAAAAGCUGCAACUUUCAUGAUAGCCUCGGAGAUACUGAAUAAUGGGUUUGUGCCAGGAAAAGGUUUAGGGGUUGAUCUUCAUGGUACUGUUCAACCGGUUUUUUUGCCAAAGAAAUUGGAUACCUUUGGGCUGGGGUUCAAGCCUACAACGACGGAAGUAAGACGGGCCCGCAAGUUGAAGAAAAGAGUUUGGGUUCUUCCCAAGCCAAUUCCACGUCUCUCUAUGUCAUUUGUCAGGCCGAGCAUCAAAAAGCAAUUGUUGUCCAAGGUUACCGGGCCACUGAUUGGUGUAGAUGGGGAUUUGAAUGAAGGUUUUGAAAGGUUAUUCACCGAAGUCAACAUGGUAUAAGAUGGGGAUGGUUCCAUCAAGGCGGAUAUACUGUUUGUAGGGACAAAGGCAAAGAUCAAGAAUUGGAUGGCUACUCCUCUUCCUAUUCGAAGGGAGUCUCGGUAGUUGGCUCUGAUUUUCCUUCCUGUUUUCUAGAUUAUUCCAGGGUUGUAGUCCAGAUUUCUUUUAUUUUGUAUUCAUCAAAGUGUGAAACCUUGUUAUCCCGAAUUCAAUAAAAUGUAAGUUUCUUCUUUAUUCCUUAUCUUAUUUUAAUUUUGUUUUCUUCUUUUCUUUUUGUACAGUUCUCUUUAUACUUAUCUUAAUGACGUGGCAUGCACAAUGGAUCUUCAAUCUAGUCUAAAAAUCAAUCAGAUUCCGAACUAAUAAUGCAAGAGGUAGAUCAUGAUGAUGAGGCGGAAUACGAUGAGGAAGAGGCUUUCGAGGAAAUUAAUAGGGAAUUAAGUCAAUUCGAAGAAAAAUCAACCUAAAUGACACAGAAGCCGUCAAUCUAGGAGAUGCAGAUAAUGUCAAAGAAACAAAGAUAAGCAUCCACAUUGAACCAAACAUCAUGGAGGAAUUAAUCAAAAUACUUCUGGAAUUCAAAGAUGUUUUUGCAUGGUCGUAUGAUGACAUGCCGGGUUUAAGCACCGAUUUAGUGGUUCACAAAUUUCCCACUGACCCGGCAUGCCCUCCCAUCAAGCAAAAACUGAGGAAGUUUAAAAUCGACAUGAGUUUGAAGAUUAAGGAAGAAGUGACCAAGCAGUUGAAUGCAAAGGUUAUUCGGUUCACUCGAUAUACCACUUGGUUGGCUAUUGUGGUACCAAUGCCGAAGAAACAUGGAAAAAUCAGGGUAUGUGUUGAUUAUCGCAAUCCGAACAGAGCAAGCCCAAAAUAUAACUUUCCAUUACCCAACAUCCAUAUUUUGAUCAAUAAUUGUUCCGGACGUGAGAUCUGAUCAUUUGUGGAUUGCUAUGCAGGGUAUCAUCAGAUUCUAAUGGAUGAGGAGGAUGCAGAAAAGAUGGCUUUUAUUACGCUGCGGGGAACUUAUUGCUAUCGGGUAAUGCCAUUUGAGCUGAAGAAUGCUCGGGCAAUAUACAUAAGGUCAAUGAGUACUAUGUUUCACGACAUGAUACACAAAGAGAUUGAGGUGUAAAUGGAUGAUGUGAUCAUAAUAUCCAAGCAUCAGGAAGACCACGUAGGAGACCUAAGGAAGUUUUUUCAGAGACUUCGAAGGUACAAUAUUAAGCUCAACACUGCCAAGUGUGCAUUCGGUGUUCCAUCUGGAAAGUUGUUGGGAUUCAUAGUCAGUCGGCGAGGCAUUGAGCUGGACCCAUCAAAGAUCAAAUCCAUCCAAGAAUUGCCACCACCAAAGAAGAAAACAGAAGUAAUGAGUCUGUUGGAAAGGUUGAAUUAUAUCAACAGGUUUAUCGCUCAACUAACGGCGACUUGUGAACCCAUUUUUCUUCUAUUGAAGAAAGACGCUCCGGUAGAAUGGACCGAAGAAUGUCAGGAGGCGUUUGACCAGAUCAAGGGGUAUUUAUCAAAUCUACCUGUGUUGGUUCCACCUGAGCCAGGAAGACAACUGAUUCUUUAUCUAGUGGUCCUAGAGAAUUCAUUUGGUGUUGUACUGGGGCAACACGACAUCACAGGAAGGAAGGAGCAAGCCAUCUAUUAUCUCAGCAAGAAUUUUACAGUUUAUGAGGUCAAGUACACUAAACUUGAGAAGACAUGUUGCGCCCUAACUUGGGCGGCGCAGAAAUUGAAGUGUUAUAUGUCAUCUUAUACUACUUACCUCAUUUCACGCUGGAUCAAAUGAAGUAUAUUUUUCAGAUGCCUAUGACCACAGGGAGAUUGGAAAAAUGGAAAAUAUUACUCACGGAAUUUGAUAUCAUCUAUGUGACGAGGACGGCGAUGAAAUCCCAAGCAUUGGCCGAUCACUUGGCCGAGAAUCCGGUCGAUGAAGAAUACGAGUCAUUGAGGAUGUAUUUUCCUGAUGAAGAGGUGAUGCAUGUCGAUGAUUUAGAGUUAAUUGAGGAACCAUGAUGGAAGCUCUUCUUUGAUGGAGCUGCAAAUGAGAAAGGAGUUGGAAUUGGGUGGUACUUAUCUCCGAAACAGGACAUCAUUAUCAUGUUACGGCUCAGUUGUGUUUCAAUUGUACCAAUAACAUGGCUGAGUAUGAGACAUGUAUUUUGGGCUUACGGUUGGUUGUGGACAUAGAUAUCCAGGACGUUUUGGUCUUGGGAGACUCGGACCUCCUGGUGCAUCAAAUUCAAGGAGAAUGGGAAACACAGAAUUUGAAGCUCAUACCAUAUCGACAAUGUUUGCACGGUUUGUGUCAAAAUUUUAAAACAGUCGAGUUUAGGCACAUCCCAAGAGUUCAUAAUGAGGUUGACGAUGCUUUGGCCACCUUAUCAUCAAUGUUUCACCACCCAGACAAAAUUCAUGUCGACUUGUUGCAUAUUCAGGUUCGUGAUCAGCAUGCUUAUUGUAACAUGAUAGUGGAAGAAAUGGAUGGCAAGCCUUGGUUCUAUGACGUCAAGGAGUACCUCUGGAUGGGGAUAUACCCAGAGCAGGCCACUGGAGAUCAAAAGAGAGCCAUUCAGCGAUUGGCAAAUGUAUUUUUCCUCAGCGAAGGAGUGUUGUACAAAAAACACCGGACUUGGGGUUGCUGAGAUGUAUAGAUGCUAGUCAAGCCACGAAAGUUAUGGCAGAAGUGCAUUCUGGAUUUUUUGGGCCACAUAUGAGCGGAUAUGUAUUGGAGAAGAAGAUUCUUCAAGCAGGGUAUUAUUGGCUCACUAUGGAGUGUGAUUUGUAUCAGUUUCGUGUGAAAAUGCCAUCAAUGCCAGAUACACGGAGAUCUGAUUCAUUUUCCGCCAACAGAAUUGCACAUGGGCCAUGGAUUUUAUUGGACCUAUCGAACCGGCAACUUCCAAUGUUUAUAGGUUGAGGCUAAAACUUUCGAGUCGGUAACCAAUAGAGCAGUGGUGGAUUUUGUUCAUUCCCAUAUCAUCUGUAGAUUUGGGAUCCCAAAGGUGAUCAUCACGGAUAAUGGUGCUAAUCUUAACAGUAGUUUGAUGAAAGAACUAUGUCCAAGAUUACAUACCAUAAUUCCAUCGCGUAUCGGCCCAAGGCGAAUGGAGCGGUUGAUGCAACCAACAAGAACAUAAAGAAGAUAUUGAGGAAGAUGGUAGAAGGGUCCAGUGGAAAAUGCCAUCAAUGCCAGAUACACGGAGAUCUGAUUCAUUUUCCGCCAACAGAAUUGCACAUGGGCCAUGGAUUUUAUUGGACCUAUCGAACCGGCAACUUCCAAUGUUUAUAGGUUGAGGCUAAAACUUUCGAGUCGGUAACCAAUAGAGCAGUGGUGGAUUUUGUUCAUUCCCAUAUCAUCUGUAGAUUUGGGAUCCCAAAGGUGAUCAUCACAGACAAUGGUGCUAUUCUUAACGGCAUUUUGAUGAAGGAAGUAUGUCAACAGUUUAGGAUUACACACCAAAAUUCCAACCCGUAUCGUCCCAAGGCAAAUGGAGCAGUUGAGGCAACCAACAAGAAUAUCAAGAAAAUAUUGAGGAAAAUGGUGGAAGGAUCCAGACAAUGACAUGAAAAGUUACCAUUUGCAUUGUUGGGUUAUCGCACUAUUAUUCGUACUUCAGUAGGUGUAACUCCUUAUUUGUUGGUAUAUGGAACUGAAGCAGUAAUACCAGCGGAGGUUGAAAUUCCAUCUCUCCAAAUUGUCGCUGAGGCUGAGAUUGAUGAUGAUGAGUGGGUCAAAACCCAAUUGGGACAAUUGAGCAUGAUUGAUGGAAAGAGAUUAGCAGCGGUAUAUCAUGGCCAAUUGUAUCAAAAAAGAUUGCAAGAGCAUUCAAUACGAAGGUGCGUCCUAGGAAGUUUGAAGUGGGGCAGCAAGUAUUGAAAUGAAUCCUUCCACAUCAGGCCGAAAGAAAGGGCAAGUUCGCCCUGAAUUGGCAUAGGACAUUCAUUGUGACCAGGGUGUUAUCCAAUGGCGCUUUAUGUUUGAGAGAUGUUGAAGGAAUAUGUGUUGACAUGUCUAUCAAUUCUGUCACAAUCAAGAGAUAUUAUGUAUGAUUUCUUUGAUUGUAAUUGUUGUUUGUUUGUAUUUGGCAUUGUAUUGGAGAAUGAAAUGACAUAGGCAAUUUGUUUCUUCUAUCCAAACACUUUAACCUUUACCUCCCCUUUUAAUCCUUAUUUAUUCUUUCAUACCUCUCUUUUGGAAUCAGUAAUGAAAAUGAAAAGAAAAAAAAGAGAAAAGAAAAAAAUAUAUAAACGAAAGAAAAGUCACAAAAAAACAAAGGAAUUAAGUGAACUACGUUCUACCUGAUUACUCAAAGAGGAUACGUAGGCGCCUCACGGCUCGGUCAUAGUGUAACAAAAAAUCAAAAAUCCCCAAGCAAGAAAACUGGGGCAGAAGUUGUAUUUGUAAUUUGGGGAAAGAAGUUUGAUUCCAAGAGUUGUAAUAUUUUACCCAUCAAAAUCAUUUUGAACUUUUGAUACCUUUUUCUUUUAGCCAUACACAAAAACCCAUAUUGAUAUCCAAAAGACCUCCCGAUCGGUAUCCGAGAAGUGCCAAGUCAGGCGAAUGGAAGUCAGGAAUAACACUCUAAUCUCUAGCAUAAAAAGGAUUAUAAGCUGAAAAGAAUUGAUAGCCACAAGAAUCCCCAGCAGAGAUAGUCAUAUCUGUAAUACACCAAUCCCCAGCUGAAAAAAUAAAAUGAGAGAGUCUUAUCAAUGAAAACCUUCACAGGCACCAUAAGGCGACGGAAGUUGAGAGAAAUAAAAUGAAAGUCUUAUUGGUGAAAACCUUCACAGGCACCAUAAGGCGACGGAAAUAUGGAGAAAUGAGAGAGUAUUAUCAGUAAAAACCCCUCGAAGAACACUAUGAGGCGACCAUGAGUUAAAAAGGGACAAACAAGAUAAGAUUGACGGAAAGGAUCCGUCGAGGAAUCAAGCAGAACAAGAUGUUGGUUCGGUAAAAAAGUUGGGUUACGGGGCCUUUGAAAUGUAAAGUAAGGCCAUUAGAAAGAUUGAUUUAUAAAUAGGUUGGUUUGAGACAUCCAGAAUGCACAACAUGAUCAUUGGGAUAAGUUCAGAUAAGUUCUUUUCCUUUUUCUUAUCCCCAACAGUUGUUCAGAAAAACUGUUCUUUUUUUAUCUUUUGAAGUCAUCAUUUUUCAUUUUUUAUUGUUUAAAAGAUCUUUUUUCAAUAGUAGUUUGUUUUUUGAGAAGGGUUUUCAGAGCUUACUACCAUUUUCCAAUAUGGUACAAAGCAAAAAUGUGGAUAGGAUAGGCCGAAGAUAAUGCAAUGGAAUGAGAAAGACGUCCGUUGCAAGACCAAAUGAUGGAUUGGUCUAAGAUUUUGGGGAAAGUAUGGAGAAAAGUGGAAAACAACAAUUGGUGAACAAAGAAUCGUCACGAAACAGGAGCAUCCCUGGCAGGAAUAUCAUCCCCAGCAAAUAAUCUCAUCCCCGGCAAGCUUUGAUUGUGUAAUGGAACACAAAGCUGGGAAAGGCGAAAGGGAAAAACCAUCCCCAGCAGGAUUGGCAUGACCAUUCACCACGUUUAAACUAACAAAAUAUUCUUUGAUUUGAAGCAGGGAAAGGAAAUGUUAUUGAUGGCGGAAAGACAUGCCACAAAGAAGAUUAUCAAACUGGGGCAGAAAACUUUCUCUCAUUGUGAAAAUUUUCUUGAAAUCAGGUACCCACUUGGGGAAGAUGGAAGAUAACACAAGUUUGGAGGAAGUGGAAUCCCCAGUAGUUUACGGAAGAAGGCAAUACAAGUUUUAAAGAAAGCAAUUUCGGGAGGAAGAUAACACAAGUCUUGAGGGAAGUAGUCUUUGAAGGAGGAGAAUAACAUAUUUUUGAAGGAAACAUCGGUGUUAACCCCGACAGUUUUCAAGGGAAUGGAACACCAAUUUUGAGGAAAGUAGUUCUGAAGGGAGAUAAUUCAAGUGAGAGGGAAAAUGGGUCAGGAGGCAGGAAGGAAAAACGGCAACAAAACGCAUUUUUGAGAAGUUGAAGUUGAAGUCAGGAGCCCGCAUGGAGAAUGGAGGUUGUAUUAUCUUUAAAGUGUAGUUGAAGUCAGGAGCCCGCCUGGAGAAUGGAGGUAUUAUAUUUUUAAGAAGUUGCUGAAGUCAAGAGCCCGCCUGGAUAAUGGAGGUAUUAUAUUUUUAUAAAGUUGUUGAAGUCAGGAGCCCGCCUGGAGAAUGGAGGUGUUAUAUCUUUAAGUUGUAGUUGAAGUCAGGAACCCGCCUGGAGAAUGGAGGUGUUAUCUUUUUAUGUUGUAAUAGAAGUCAGGAGCCCGCCUGGAGAAUGGAGGUGUUAUAUUUUAAGAAGUUGUUGAAGUCAGGAGCCCGCCUGGAGAAUGGAGGUGUUAUAUUUUUAAGUCGUAACUGAAGUCAGGAGCCCGCCUGGAGAAUGGAGGUGUUAUAUUUUUAAGUUGUUAUCGAAGUCAGGAGCCCAGAUGGAGAAUGGAGGUUGUUAUAUUCAAGUUGUAGUUGAAGUCAGGAGCCCGCCUGGAGAAUGGAGGUUGUCAUAUUUUAAGUAGUCGAAGUUAGGAGCCUACCUGGAGAACAGAGUAAUACAUUCAAGUUUUAAAAUGAAGAGCCCACCUGGAGAAUGGAUGUAUUAAAUUUUUAAGUAGUAGAAGUUAAGAGCCCGCCUAGAGAAUGGAUGUAUUAAAUAUUUAAGUAGUUGAAGUCAAGAGCUCGCCUAGAGAAUGGAGAUUAUUAAAUUUUAAGUUGUAGUUGAAGUCAGGAGUCCGCCUAGAUAGCAGAGACAUGCAUUUCGAAUUUCAGUAGUCAGGAGUCCGCAUGGAGAACAGAGACAUACAAUUUACGUUGCGUUAUUAUUUCAAGUCGCUCGUAUCGGCUCACUUUAUCUUUGCAGGAAAACUCUUCAUGUUUUUGGACAAAGGGGGCCAGUUGUGAGCACGUAAUUUUUUCCCUAUGUAUGAAUUACUCCCAAAAAAUUCAAAAUAAAACAAUUUUUUGUUUGUUUGUAAUUGUUUUAAAUUUUGUGUUAUUUUUCUUGUAUUGUUUGUAUUUGUCUGUGCAUGUUUAUUUGUUAAAUUAAUAAAAAUAAAAAAGUAUGUCGCGUUUGCAUUUAGGAUUUAAGUUUACAAUUAUUAGUAAUUAAGUUUGUUUCACUAAAAUGGAAAAAUCACAAAAUAAUAAUGUACUUCACAUUUCUAGAAUUUAAUGUCCAAAUUGUGUGAUUUUACUUUUUAAUUGGUGUUUAAUUUUGUUAGAUAAUUAUUAUUAGGAGUUAAUUAGAAUUUUUAGUUAAUUUUGAUUUUAUGAUUUAAUCUAGGAUUUUAUUUUUGGUUUUAACAAUUAGAAAAUAAAAGAUAAAGAAAUUGGACAAAAAAUCGAAACUGGGAUGUUUUAUUCGACCAAAAUCAGGCCCAAAUCGACGCAUGUUACCCUAUCCAAUCGACAUGGCAAUACAACGCCCAAACGACAUCUAUAUGUCAUGUCCUUCCUGAACCGUUGGAUCUCGCAUAUCCAACGGUCGAGAUCAUCUUUCCAGCCCCGACCCGUUUUCCCGGACCGAUCCAGUACCCCUACUAAACUAUCGACCCCAUUUCAUAUAAGCGAGUCGAUCCAAGCGUUGAUCUGAGUUGAUCCAACGGCUUGGAUUCAAUCUCCUAUCUAGUAUAUAUUCCUAAAUCCUACCCCCACCCCCUUCAAACAAAGAGAAAACUCGGAACUGGGCUGUCCCAAACAGCCCUUGAAUCAGGCCCAAAAUGUUUUAACCCGGUCCAAUUGACCAGACCUCUCAGAUGUCCAAAACGACGUCAUGCCAUGGCCAAGAGAUCUCAACAGUUGGAUCUCACAUAUCCAACGACUGAAAUCAUCUCUCCAACCCCGACCCGAUUUUCCCGGACCGACCCAGUACCCCUACUAAAUCAAAAAACCCCGUUUUAUGUAAGUAAGUUGAUCCAAGCCGUUGAUCUAAAUUGAUCCAAUGAUUUGGAUUCACUAUCCUAACUGGAAUAUAUUCCUAAAUCCUAUCCCACCCCCUUCAAACGAACCCCCAUUUUUCUCUGUAUCGUCUCCAAGAUCAGAGACGACCCCUCCCCAAACCCUAGCAGCCGCCACCCCUCCCCUUCACCAUAAACCCGGCAGAAAUGAUUCUAGUGACCACCAAAAACACACCCAUGAACCCCCAGACCAUCCCAUCUAUGAAUCCACAGCCCUUUCUUCUCGAAUUAUUACCAAACGUCUCGAAUCUUCAUCUGAAGAAUCGUACCAAAAACUUAGUUCACCCAAUCUCCCCCAAAUCAAAACCCAACGUCCACCUGCCUUCCCUCGUCCCUAAACCAUCAACAGAUUCCCUCGAAUCUCGUUAAAUUUUCUCUAAUCUUAGAUCAAAGUUUGACCCCAAACCCUAGUUCUUUCAAGCUUGAGGUUCAGUGGACAGUUGAAGAUCUGUAGACCAAAUUGGAUUUUAAUCGUGUGUUUUCACAUUGAAAACACACGAUUAAAGUCCGCUUUGGUCCAGAUCAAAGGAUCCAAGAAUGAGUUCACGAUGGGGUCCGUUUUGGCCCCAAAUCCAAAGGUUGGAGGUUCGAACCGGAUCCUCAUUAAAACUGUAGGUUUCCGCUUAUUUCUCUUCUCUGUUAGUUUUGUUGAGUAAAUUCAUCUUCUACCCCUUUCUUUAGAAUCGAAUGCUUUGUGUUUGUUCUAUAUUUUGUUUCUUUUUUUUAUUAUUUUUUACAUCGAAUUAUUCAGCGUCCAUAAUGCUUUGUAUAAAACCACAACUACUGCUGUAAUUAUUUAAUGGUUAUUACUUGUUCAAAUUGGCCAAGUUUGCUCUUUGUUGUUCAUCAUUUGUUAGGUUCCUUCCUCAUUUAUAUUUGUCUAAGCUAAUUAGGAUUAGUUUCCAAUAUGGUUAGCUUAUUCUCUAUGUCUGUGUGAAUCAGCUUGACUUUAAUAGUUCAAUACAGGUUGCCUUGAAUCAGUCGUUUUAUUUGGAUACUAUUUGUAACUAAUCUGAGUGCAAGUUCUAGCUGAUUUUGCUGAAUUGAAUCUCAAUUAUUGUCCUGUAUUGGAUUCGGUUUUGAUGUGCUUGUUAGGUAUCGGUUCAUCUUGCUUGGUAGUUAAUUGAUUAGCUGAAUUGGUUAUAGCUGAUAGGUUGUGUACAAAUUCAAGGGAUGGAAUUAGGAUAGGAAUUCCAGGCAACUCAAGGGGUAAUUUGGUAUUCGAAAUGAGUUAGUAGUCUGUCAGUAGGAUAGGCAUUAAACUAAUUCAAAUUAACUAAAGUAAAAAAGGGAUCAGUUAGUGGAAGGGACAGCUUUUAGAGCAUCUUUAGAGAUUGGAAAUUAUAAAUAGUAGGUAAUAAUGAAAAGCUAAAAAGGUUCACAUAGGGAGGUAUAUUAAAAAGCUGGAAAGAAAAAGAAACAUAGGGGUAAUAAUGAGAGAUCCUUCUUACAGCUGUAAAAAAAGAGGGGGGGCGGCACGAAAGGGGGUCUGCUUUGGGUAUAAAUUAGAGAUGAGUAGAGAUAUUAAGAGGAACUUGAAGAGGCAGUAAGAGUGGGGAGAGUAAAAAACACAUAAAAAAGAAAGGAGUCCAGACCUUAGAUAGAUAUAGACACUAAGGAAGUUCUCAGCUCAGGAAUUCCCCCAGAAGCUCUCCCUCUUCAUUUUUUUUAAAUCUAAGUUUGAAUUCCAUCUUCCAAAACACCAAAAACAAAUAAAAAAUCAAAAAAAUCUCUACUGUUUCAUUGAGAAACUGCAAUCUGAUCCUUAUUUCCAUCUAGCCUCUUCACAUUUUGUAGUUUUAGUUGAGUUUUGGGCUUAUUGAAGUAGUGUGGUGAUGUUCAAGUGUUUUAGUUUAAUCUGCUGGUUUAAUUUGAGUUUUGAUCCUUCCUGGGAUUUUAUGUAUUCAUUCUCUGGGCUGUUUCCUAUUGUUCUUACUACUGGAAAUUGUACUUUGUUAUGAUUGCUGCUGAUUAUUUGCCAUAGCUGACUUCUUCUCCUUCUUCUGAUUAAAAUUCCAUUUCCAUGUAUUGUCCUUGUAUGAACUACGAAGGAUCCAUGUAAUUGGAUUUGAAGAUCAAAUGAAGAAAUUUGUUCGAAUUGGUUGCUAGAAUUUAUUUGAUUUAUGUUUGGUUUCUAUAUGUGAAAUAGUCCUUUUUAGGUGAAUGUUGUACUCGUGAUUGAAGAGAAUUUUUGUUAUAAUAGACAAGUGAUAAUGGCUGUUAAUUGAAUUUUAGCUAUAGAAACGGAGUAGUAACAAUGGUUUAGAGUAGCUUGAAUCAAUUUGAAAACAUUCAGUUUCCUUACGUAAUUAAGUCGUGUGUCUAGUUUGUUAUUCACCUUUGGUAAACGCUAUGAUUUGGCCAGUAGUUAAACAGGUAGUUGAUCAAUACUUUCAUCGAUUCAACUAAGGGAAUAUGGUCCUUCAAAUGUGAAGGCUACAACUUUCUCCCAAUGAGUAGCCCAGGCCCGUUACUCAUGCUCGUGCACGUUUGGCGUGGGACGAAUCCUGUGAUUGGCCAAUUUGUGGCAUCGACAUGAAGGCAAUUUUCCUCAUGGGCUUAUCUUGAAGCCCAACGGCUAGCUUUGGGGUUAUCAUUUGGUUUGUUUUAAUCCAGUAACAAAUUGAUUACGACUCUUUCUUUUAUUUUAGAGACAAUAAAAAUAGCAAAUCAUAAUCGCUUUUAGGUUUGCCCUUUUCAAUAAAAUAUGAGACGAGCCUCAUCGAAUAAAAUGCACAAACUACGGGGCCCUCUUAAGUGUAUAACAAAAUACUUAGAUUUCGGUAUGGACCGUUUAGCGAAUUUCACGGUCUUCCCCAAAAUAAUAACGUGCUAGUCACUUUAGGCACGUGCUCUCCCUAAACUCGGGUGCACAUUUAUGUCACCCAAAUCUAAAUCUAAAUGGAGUUUAGAUGUGUCAAUAACCACGGGUGCAUUGAUGUGACGUGGUUCGAGACGCAUUUUCAUGACGUUGUAAUUCUCUUUUUUUAAAAAAUAAUAAAAGCGGUUAAAAGCUAAAAUUUGCACAUAUGUUCAUAAUUGUUAAAAUCAGAUAAUUUAAGUCGAAUAUGACAGUUGAGCAAUUGUGCUAGAACCACGGAACUUGGGAAUGCCUAACAUCUUCUUCCGGGUUAACAGAAUUCCUUAUCCGUAUUUUUGGUGCGCGGACUAUAAUACAGAUUCAUUCUUUUCCUUGAUUCGGGAUUAACCGGUGGCUUGGGACACCAUAAAUCUCCCAAGUGGCGACUCUGAAUUAAAUAAACUAAUCUCGUUUCGAUUGUCCUUUAAUUGGAAAAACUCCUUUACGCCCUUACGGCCUAGGUAAAAAGGAGGUGUGACAACAAUAUCCUCUAUUUAUUUAUUUAUUUAUUUAUUUCAAACUACGCCAAACACCCAAAUAGCAGGGUGUCUAAGGUUAACAACCUAUACAUGGCCCUCACAACGGGAAUAACUCACAAUAGUCGGCAUAUUACACCCCACACAAGCUCCAUCAAGUGGUUCACGCCGAACACUACACCACCACAACCUAACGGGGGAACAAAGUACCCCAAAAUAUCAUAACAAACCUCAAAUUUUCGGCCAAAAAAGGGCCCCUCCACCAGACUUUACCACAAAAAUUGUUUCUAGGCCUCCAAACAUUCUCAAACUCCCUCACAAGUGAAUCACCAUGAAAACCCAUCUAUUUAAGCAUCAUUCAUGUCCAAAAAUGCAAACAAAUAGAAAAAAACAGAAAAAGGAACAAAAUCACAAAAAUUGACACUAAAAUACUACCUAGGGUUGGAUUACACUAACUUAGGCUACAUUACACUAAUUAGAUAAAGAAAUAAAAAGAAAAUAAAAAAGGGGGUGGUGGGUUGUGGCGAGAAGGAGUUGGGGAAGACAACAAUGGAGUUUUGGUGAGAGAGAGAGAGGAGAAAAGAUAUGAGGAUUUUGGGGGGUGGGCUGGUGUCAGGGGGAAUGAAGGGGUUUGGGUUAGUUAAGGGUUUGGUUUAAUUAAAAGGGGGUGAAAAAAAAAGAAAAAAAAAA
RNAcentral lists this long non-coding RNA (22656 nucleotides) under Nicotiana benthamiana. Its description in RNAcentral is "long non-coding RNA (NBEN_LNC003152)". The record is from RNAcentral. Lineage: Eukaryota; Viridiplantae; Streptophyta; Magnoliopsida; Solanales; Solanaceae.